This is a non-coding RNA of Vicia faba (fava bean), 375 nucleotides long. Lineage: Eukaryota; Viridiplantae; Streptophyta; Magnoliopsida; Fabales; Fabaceae. The record is from the annotation of a GenBank genome assembly.
AUGGGGGGUGUAAAAUCAGGAUCAGGGCUAGAUGUGACGAUCACCUUUCAUCGUUCUCCUUCUCUGCGAAACACGAGUGGUGCCACUUCCUUCUCCUAUUCUCCACCCCGAAGCUGCCAUUCUUCUUCUCCAAUCUUCCUUGCUCAUAUUACUGUUGUAACUACUUCAUCUUCUCCAUCUUAUCUUCCCUCUCUAUCAAACUCCCUUCUGAUACCUCAUCGAUUUCACGUAUUCCCUCGUCUCCCUUUGCUUCACCGCAAACUCAACCUUUUGAACUCCGCCAUGAGUGCUUUGUUUAACAUUGUUCUCUCGUCACAAGCGUCAUGGACGACUCAACUCAGACUUCGCUUCAACUCAACCUUUUACUUACCGUAA